RNAcentral lists this small RNA (24 nucleotides) under Arabidopsis thaliana (thale cress). RNAcentral describes it as "ATSL238440". The record is from RNAcentral. Lineage: Eukaryota; Viridiplantae; Streptophyta; Magnoliopsida; Brassicales; Brassicaceae.
AAAAAGUAGAAGCAGAAGAAAAAC